Long non-coding RNA from Rosa rugosa (rugosa rose), 619 nucleotides. RefSeq lists it as uncharacterized. NCBI's taxonomy places the organism in Eukaryota, Viridiplantae, Streptophyta, Magnoliopsida, Rosales, Rosaceae. The transcript is spliced from 3 exons. The record is from RefSeq and is a predicted model, not a curated record.
AACAGGGUACUGAUUAUGUAUCGACACCAGAUUUUGGGCUUUAUACAUAUCCUGGACGAGAGCUGCGACACGACAUAGAUUUUAAGGUCUACCCGCCGGAUAUAUAUGCAUUCGGACUAAAGUUGGACAGGGAAGGCUGUGCUGAAUAGGACCUGAUAUCCUAAUUGCAGGUCGAGGUUACUGGCAGAAUCUAUACGAUUCUAGGUUGACAAUACGGGGCUGUUUCCAGCAACGGUAAACGGGGGACAAAAGCUGGCGCAAGCUUGAAAUUUGACACAGAAAAGGAGUUCUUUGACUUUUUCUCCAUGGCUUGAACCACAUGAGAGAAAUCUGUGAGAGGCCUGAAUGAUUUUAUGAGCAAGCUGUAAAUUUGUUAGCAAACGAACUUGGUCUUGAUGGUUGACACUGAAGCUCUACCUAGAGAGGGAGAUAAGAGAGCACCCUGAUGAUACAGAAACCUUGGAACUGAUGUAACCUAUGCUUUCCAAAGGUAUUUGAUAGAGAAAUGGAGUAUACAAUUAUAAUAUGAUAGAAAUAAGUUAUAGACAAAUUGCUACAUUUGGACAAGCAUUGCUAAUGUUUUGCCUCGGAGUCCUGAGCUCGUAAGUUCAUGAACCAA